UGGCGGACGGGUGAGUAAUGUCUGGGAAACUGCCUGAUGGAGGGGGAUAACUACUGGAAACGGUAGCUAAUACCGCAUAACGUCGCAAGACCAAAGAGGGGGACCUUCGGGCCUCUUGCCAUCGGAUGUGCCCAGAUGGGAUUAGCUAGUAGGUGGGGUAACGGCCCACCUAGGCGACGAUCCCUAGCUGGUCUGAGAGGAUGACCAGCCACACUGGAACUGAGACACGGUCCAG
RNAcentral lists this ribosomal RNA (235 nucleotides) under uncultured bacterium. Its description in RNAcentral is "partial 16S ribosomal RNA". It matches the Rfam family "Bacterial small subunit ribosomal RNA", at positions 96 to 334 of the family's 1533-position model. The record is from RNAcentral.